GGAGGGGUGUCUGAGUGGUUGAAAGAGCACGCUUGGAAAGCGUGUGGCUGUCGCAAGAUGGCUCGAGAGUUCGAAUCUCUCCUCCUCCGCCA
This 92-nucleotide transfer RNA is filed under the name Candidatus Zapsychrus exili. RNAcentral describes it as "tRNA-Ser". It matches the Rfam family "tRNA". Rfam says of the family: Transfer RNA (tRNA) molecules are approximately 80 nucleotides in length. Their secondary structure includes four short double-helical elements and three loops (D, anti-codon, and T loops). Further hydrogen bonds mediate the characteristic L-shaped molecular structure. tRNAs have two regions of fundamental functional importance: the anti-codon, which is responsible for specific mRNA codon recognition, and the 3' end, to which the tRNAs corresponding amino acid is attached (by aminoacyl-tRNA synthetases). tRNAs cope with the degeneracy of the genetic code in two manners: having more than one tRNA (with a specific anti-codon) for a particular amino acid; and 'wobble' base-pairing, i.e. permitting non-standard base-pairing at the 3rd anti-codon position. The record is from RNAcentral. Lineage: Bacteria; Pseudomonadati; Candidatus Omnitrophota.